GGGAUUGCCUCAGUAACGGCGAGUGAAGCGGCAACAGCUCAAAUUUGAAAUCUGGCUCCUUCGGGGUCCGAAUUGUAAUUUGUAGAGAGUGCUUCGGGCGAGACCUCGGUCUAAGUCCAUUGGAACAUGGUGUCAUAGAGGGUGAGAAUCCCGUAUGGGACCGUGGCUCGAGCCCAUGUGAAGCCUCUUCGACGAGUCGAGUUGUUUGGGAAUGCAGCUCAAAAUGGGUGGUAAAUUUCAUCUAAAGCUAAAUACUGGCUGGAGACCGAUAGCGCACAAGUAGAGUGAUCGAAAGAUGAAAAGCACUUUGGAAAGAGAGUCAAACAGUACGUGAAAUUGUUGAAAGGGAAGCGCUUGCAACCAGACCUGCCCGUAGGCGAUCCGCCGCUGUUCUCAGCGGUGUACUCGCUCUGCGAUCAGGCCAGCAUCGGUUUCGGCGGUCGGAUAAAGGCCUUGGGAAUGUAGCUUCCCUUCGGGGGAGUCUUAUAGCCCUCGGUGCAAUGCGGCCAGCCGGGACCGAGGACCGCGCUUCGGCUAGGAUGCUGGCGUAAUGGUUGUAAGCGACCCGUCUUGAAACACGGACCAAGGAGUCUAACAUCUAUGCGAGUGUUUGGGUGUCAAACCCAUACGCGGAAUGAAAGUGAACGGAGGUGAGAACCCUUAAGGGCGCAUCAUCGACCGAUCCAGAUGUCUUCGGAUGGAUUUGAGUAUGAGCAUAGCUGUUGGGACCCGAAAGAUGGUGAACUAUGCCUGAAUAGGGUGAAGCCAGAGGAAACUCUGGUGGAGGCUCGCAGCGGUUCUGACGUGCAAAUCGAUCGUCAAAUUUGGGUAUAGGGGCGAAAGACUAAUCG
RNAcentral lists this ribosomal RNA (851 nucleotides) under Xanthoparmelia hypofusca. RNAcentral's name for it is "eukaryotic LSU rRNA". It matches the Rfam family "Eukaryotic large subunit ribosomal RNA", at positions 71 to 937 of the family's 3401-position model. Lineage: Eukaryota; Fungi; Ascomycota; Lecanoromycetes; Lecanorales; Parmeliaceae. The record is from RNAcentral.